CAUGAAGCCGGAAUUGCUAGUAAUGGCAGGUCAGCAUACUGCCGUGAAUACGUUCCCGGGCCUUGUACACACCGCCCGUCACACCAUGAGAGUUGGGGAUACCCAAAGCCCGUGAGCCAACUGUAAAGAGGCAGCGGUCUAAGGUAGAAUCAAUGAUUGGGGUGAAGUCGUAACAAGGUAAC
RNAcentral lists this ribosomal RNA (182 nucleotides) under uncultured bacterium. RNAcentral describes it as "partial 16S ribosomal RNA". It matches the Rfam family "Bacterial small subunit ribosomal RNA", at positions 1319 to 1500 of the family's 1533-position model. The record is from RNAcentral.